UCUCAAGUGUAUUUUAAGUGCG
This 22-nucleotide non-coding RNA is filed under the name Arabidopsis thaliana (thale cress). Lineage: Eukaryota; Viridiplantae; Streptophyta; Magnoliopsida; Brassicales; Brassicaceae. The record is from RNAcentral.